RNAcentral lists this ribosomal RNA (484 nucleotides) under uncultured bacterium. RNAcentral describes it as "partial 16S ribosomal RNA". It matches the Rfam family "Bacterial small subunit ribosomal RNA", at positions 30 to 507 of the family's 1533-position model. The record is from RNAcentral.
AUUGAACGCUGGCGGCAGGCCUAACACAUGCAAGUCGAGCGGAUGAAGGGAGCUUGCUCCUGGAUUCAGCGGAGGACGGGUGAGUAAUGCCUAGGAAUCUGCCUGGUAGUGGGGGAUAACGUCCGGAAACGGGCGCUAAUACCGCAUACGUCCUGAGGGAGAAAGUGGGGGAUCUUCGGACCUCACGCUAUCAGAUGAGCCUAGGUCGGAUUAGCUAGUUGGUGGGGUAAAGGCCUACCAAGGCGACGAUCCGUAACUGGUCUGAGAGGAUGAUCAGUCACUCUGGGACUGAGACACGGUCCAGACUCCUACGGGAGGCAGCAGUGGGGAAGAUUGGACGAUGGGCGAAAGCCUGAUCCAGCCAUGCCGCGUGUGUGCAGAAGGUCUUCGGAUUGUAAAGCACUUUAAGUUGGGAGGAAGGGCAGUAAGAGAAUACCUUGCUGUGUUGACGGUACCAACAGAAGAAGCACCGGCUAACUUCGUG